AUUUGCCAAACCCAAAACCAUUAAUAUUCUGGUCCAGUUUAUAAUAAUUCACUUAUCCUAAGCAUAAAUCCCAGAUCACCUUCAAAUACAAUGUGCAUUCACCAUUGCUCGAUCUUUCCCAGUAUUUUAUAUCCCUAAAAUAUUUUAGAACUAAAAGAUACAUUAGAAUCUUUUGGAAAAAUAAAAUAAAAUAAUGCUUUAUUUUCAUAUUUCAUAUAAUUGACGAAUCCUUUUUCAUUCACAUAUACUCCAUCAUAUUUAUCCCUAAAAUAUUUUAGAACUAAAAGAUACAUUAGAAUCUUUUGGAAAAAUAAAAUAAAAUAAUGCUUUAUUUUCAUAUUUCAUAUAAUUGACGAAUCCUUUUUCAUUCACAUAUACUCCAUCAUAUU
RNAcentral lists this unclassified non-coding RNA (389 nucleotides) under Hevea brasiliensis (rubber tree). Lineage: Eukaryota; Viridiplantae; Streptophyta; Magnoliopsida; Malpighiales; Euphorbiaceae. The record is from RNAcentral.